GUAUCUGAGGGCAAUCCGGCUGCAGCAUCUGUUACUGUAGUGAUCCAAAGGGUUGAUUCAGAGAAUCUGGUUGGCCAGGUGGGUGACUCCUUCUUACCUCAUAGACCUGUGCAUUCCUCUUAAAGCUGCACACUCAGUAGAAAAGAAAGACCUUCCUGAUACAGGAGGAAUUUUCGUAAAGGACUAAGAGUAGCUGCUUUCCCUACAAGAACCUACAAAGAAGUUUACCUCCUGUAAUUUUAUCAUCCUUUUCAUGAAUUUUAGGAGACAAUCUCGUUAACAAACAAUCUAUAUUAUUAUUAUUUUAUGAUUAUAAUA
Unclassified non-coding RNA from Cavia porcellus (domestic guinea pig), 318 nucleotides. Its record names the gene 7SK. It matches the Rfam family "7SK RNA". From Rfam's summary of the family: 7SK was discovered as an abundant small nuclear RNA in the mid-70s but a possible function has only recently been suggested. NCBI's taxonomy places the organism in Eukaryota, Metazoa, Chordata, Mammalia, Rodentia, Caviidae. The record is from Ensembl.